This 371-nucleotide ribosomal RNA is filed under the name uncultured bacterium. RNAcentral describes it as "partial 16S ribosomal RNA". It matches the Rfam family "Bacterial small subunit ribosomal RNA", at positions 338 to 706 of the family's 1533-position model. The record is from RNAcentral.
CCUACGGGAGGCAGCAGUGAGGAAUAUUGGUCAAUGGGCGCGAGCCUGAACCAGCCAAGUAGCGUGAAGGAUGACUGCCCUACGGGUUGUAAACUUCUUUUAUAAAGGAAUCAAGUGAGGCACGUGUGCCUUUUUGUAUGUACUUUAUGAAUAAGGAUCGGCUAACUCCGUGCCAGCAGCCGCUGUAAUACGGAGGAUCCGAGCUUUAUCCGGAUUUAUUGGGUUUAAAGGGAGCGUAGAGGGGUUGUUAAGUCAGUGUGGAAAGUUUGCGGCCAAACCGUAAAAUUGCAAUUGAUACUGGCAGCUUUGAGUCAAGUUGAGGAAGGCGGAAUGCGUGGUGUAGCGGUGAAAUGCUUAGAUAUCACGAAGAA